This 201-nucleotide long non-coding RNA is filed under the name Elaeis guineensis (African oil palm). Its description in RNAcentral is "long non-coding RNA (EGUI_LNC054712)". The record is from RNAcentral. Lineage: Eukaryota; Viridiplantae; Streptophyta; Magnoliopsida; Arecales; Arecaceae.
AAUAUAAAAUAAAAAACUACAUCGAUCACAUCAAUGUCCUGAAUCUGAUCUAACCUUUAGAUCACAUCGGUUGAGUUCAGAACUCAUCACCUUUUCAUAGGUCAAUGAUCUCCGUUGCUGAUAGGUAUGAUACAAAACUUUCACUAAUAUCGAGUAACCACAUAGGUCGUUCGGCCUCUACAGAUCAUCCACUCGAAGCCA